AAGUCGUAACAAGGUUUCCGUAGGUGAACCUGCGGAAGGAUCAUUACCGCGUUUCCAACGUAUCAACAAACCGUGAACUUGUAACCUUACCUGUGGGAAAUGCUGGAUUGUUAGCGCCUUGAUGGGUUACUGGGCAACCAGUGACGUGCGCUUUCCGUCUACCAGAUGUAACAAGCUGGAGGUAUUUCCUAUGGGCUACAUAAAUUCCCCAUCAUACACCAUAUCUUAUUUAUAACGAUAUCACCUCUACUAAUUGACUAACCCCUUGACUUGAGAGUCUAACAACUCUCCAGUUGAAUCGUAGUUUAUCAUAACUAAGUACAACUCUUAGCAACGGAUAUCUCGGUUCUC
This 351-nucleotide unclassified non-coding RNA is filed under the name fungal sp. RNAcentral describes it as "partial internal transcribed spacer region". The stretch from base 1 to 46 matches the Rfam family "Eukaryotic small subunit ribosomal RNA", at positions 1786 to 1831 of the family's 1831-position model. Lineage: Eukaryota; Fungi. The record is from RNAcentral.